This 408-nucleotide ribosomal RNA is filed under the name uncultured bacterium. RNAcentral describes it as "partial 16S ribosomal RNA". It matches the Rfam family "Bacterial small subunit ribosomal RNA", at positions 28 to 526 of the family's 1533-position model. The record is from RNAcentral.
GACGAACGCUGGCGGCGUGCUUAACACAUGCAAGUCGAACGAAGUGGCGCACGGGUGAGUAACGCGUAAUCACCCUGCCCUUCAGAGGGGGACAACAGUUGGAAACGACUGCUAAUACCGCAUACUGAAGGAGGGGAUUUUUUCUGAUUAGCUGGUUGGGGGGGUCACGGCCCACCAAGGAGAUGUACAGUAGCCGGUCGGAGAGGAUGAACGGCCACAUUGGGACUGAGACACGGCCCAGACUCCGACGGGAGGCAGCAGUGGGGAAUCUGCCGCAAUGGACGAAAGUCUGACGGGGCAACGCCGCGUGAGUGAUGACGGCCUUCGGGUUGUAAAGCUCUGUUAAUCGGGACGCGGUACCGGAAUAGAAAGCCACGGCUAACUACGUGCCAGCAGCCGCGGUAAUAC